GGGGGGGGGGGGGGGGGGGGUGAGCGGGUGCGGGGCGGGGGGGGGGGGCGCUUUGGGGGGGUGGGCGGGUGGCGCACGGGUGAGUGACCCGGGAGUACCCUGCCCGUUCCUCUGUGAUAACUUCUGAAACCGGGGGCUAAUACCGGAUAGGAGCUCCUCCUGCUUGGUGGGGUUUGGAACGGUUCGGCGGUUGGGGCUGGAAUCGCGGCUUAGCAGCUUGUUGGUGGGGUAGGGGCUUCACAAGGAUAUGGCGGGUAGCUCGCCCGGGGGGGUUACCGGCCACAUUGGGACUGAGAUACGGCCCAGACUCCUACGGGAGGCAGCAGUGGGGAAUAUUGCAAAAUGGGUGGGAGCCUGAUGCAGCAACGCCGUGUGCGGGAUGACGGGCUUCGGGUUGGAAACCGCUUUCGCUCAUGACGAAGCUGUGUGUGACGGUAGUGGGUAAAGAAGCACCGGCUAACUACGUG
RNAcentral lists this ribosomal RNA (467 nucleotides) under uncultured bacterium. Its description in RNAcentral is "partial 16S ribosomal RNA". The stretch from base 53 to 467 matches the Rfam family "Bacterial small subunit ribosomal RNA", at positions 36 to 507 of the family's 1533-position model. The record is from RNAcentral.